Molecule: ribosomal RNA, 795 nt
Filed under: uncultured bacterium
Lineage: Bacteria
Description: bacterial SSU rRNA
Rfam family: Bacterial small subunit ribosomal RNA
Source: RNAcentral
UCACAGCUCAACUGUGAAUCGGCAAUGGAAACUGAAAGACUAGAGUGUGGUAGGGGUAGAGGGAAUUCCUAGUGUAGCGGUGAAAUGCGUAGAUAUUAGGAAGAACACCAGUGGCGAAGGCGCUCUACUGGGCCAUAACUGACACUGAUGGACGAAAGCUAGGGGAGCGAAAGGGAUUAGAUACCCCUGUAGUCCUAGCUGUAAACGAUGGACACUAGGUGUUGGCCGUAUCGACCCGGUCAGUAUCGAAGCAAACGCGUUAAGUGUCCCGCCUGGGGAGUACGCACGCAAGUGUGAAACUCAAAGGAAUUGACGGGGGCCCGCACAAGCGGUGGAGUAUGUGGUUUAAUUCGAUGCAACGCGAAGAACCUUACCAGGGUUUGACAUCCUACGAACUUUCCAGAGAUGGAUUGGUGCCUUCGGGAACGUAGAGACAGGUGGUGCAUGGCUGUCGUCAGCUCGUGUCGUGAGAUGUUGGGUUAAGUCCCGCAACGAGCGCAACCCUCGUCCUUAGUUGCCAUCAUUAAGUUGGGCACUUUAAGGAGACUGCCGGUGACAAACCGGAGGAAGGUGGGGAUGACGUCAAGUCAUCAUGCCCCUUACAUCCUGGGCUACACGCGUACUACAAUGCAACGGACAAAGGGCAGCCAACUAGCGAUAGUGAGCUAAUCCCAUAAACCGUUGCUCAGUUCAGAUUGCAGGCUGCAACUCGCCUGCAUGAAGGCGGAAUCGCUAGUAAUCGCAGAUCAGCAUACUGCGGUGAAUACGUUCCCGGGCCUUGCACACACCGCCCGU